GACGAACGCUGGCGGCGUGCUUAACACAUGCAAGUCGAACGGAAAGGCCCUGCUUUUGUGGGGUGCUCGAGUGGCGAACGGGUGAGUAACACGUGAGUAACCUGCCCUUGACUUUGGGAUAACUUCAGGAAACUGGGGCUAAUACCGGAUAGGAGCUCCUGCUGCAUGGUGGGGGUUGGAAAGUUUCGGCGGUUGGGGAUGGACUCGCGGCUUAUCAGCUUGUUGGUGGGGUAGUGGCUUACCAAGGCUUUGACGGGUAGCCGGCCUGAGAGGGUGACCGGCCACAUUGGGACUGAGAUACGGCCCAGACUCCUACGGGAGGCAGCAGUGGGGAAUAUUGCACAAUGGGCGGAAGCCUGAUGCAGCAACGCCGCGUGCGGGAUGACGGCCUUCGGGUUGUAAACCGCUUUCGCCUGUGACGAAGCGUGAGUGACGGUAAUGGGUAAAGAAGCACCGGCUAACUACGUGCCAGCAGCCGCGGUGAUACGUAGGGUGCGAGCGUUGUCCGGAUUUAUUGGGCGUAAAGGGCUCGUAGGUGGUUGAUCGCGUCGGAAGUGUAAUCUUGGGGCUUAACCCUGAGCGUGCUUUCGAUACGGGUUGACUUGAGGAAGGUAGGGGAGAAUGGAAUUCCUGGUGGAGCGGUGGAAUGCGCAGAUAUCAGGAGGAACACCAGUGGCGAAGGCGGUUCUCUGGGCCUUUCCUGACGCUGAGGAGCGAAAGCGUGGGGAGCGAACAGGCUUAGAUACCCUGGUAGUCCACGCUGUAAACGGUGGGUACUAGGUGUGGGGUCCAUUCCACGGGUUCCGUGCCGUAGCUAACGCUUUAAGUACCCCGCCUGGGGAGUACGGCCGCAAGGCUAAAACUCAAAGGAAUUGACGGGGCCCCGCACAAGCGGCGGAGCAUGCGGAUUAAUUCGAUGCAACGCGUAGAACCUUACCUGGGUUUGACAUGGAUCGGGAGCGCUCAGAGAUGGGUGUGCCUCUUUUGGGGUCGGUUCACAGGUGGUGCAUGGCUGUCGUCAGCUCGUGUCGUGAGAUGUUGGGUUAAGUCCCGCAACGAGCGCAACCCUUGUUCACUGUUGCCAGCACGUUAUGGUGGGGACUCAGUGGAGACCGCCGGGGUCAACUCGGAGGAAGGUGGGGAUGGCGUCAAGUCAUCAUGCCCCUUAUGUCCAGGGCUUCACGCAUGCUACAAUGGCUGGUACAGAGAGUGGCGAGCCUGUGAGGGUGAGCGAAUCUCGGAAAGCCGGUCUCAGUUCGGAUUGGGGUCUGCAACUCGACCUCAUGAAGUCGGAGUCGCUAGUAAUCGCAGAUCAGCAACGCUGCGGUGAAUACGUUCCCGGG
This 1343-nucleotide ribosomal RNA is filed under the name uncultured bacterium. RNAcentral's name for it is "16S ribosomal RNA". It matches the Rfam family "Bacterial small subunit ribosomal RNA", at positions 28 to 1378 of the family's 1533-position model. The record is from RNAcentral.